RNAcentral lists this ribosomal RNA (776 nucleotides) under uncultured archaeon. Its description in RNAcentral is "bacterial SSU rRNA". It matches the Rfam family "Archaeal small subunit ribosomal RNA", at positions 37 to 839 of the family's 1478-position model. The record is from RNAcentral.
CCGGAUGUCUAGCAUGCGAGUCUUUGUAGUAUACAAGGCAUACGGCUCAGUAACGCGUAGUCAACCUACCCUAUGGACAAGAAUAAUCUCGGGAAACUGAGCAUAAUUCUUGAUAGAUCAUAAUGCCUGGAAUGGUUUAUGGUUAAAAUGAUUCGUCGCCAUAGGAUGGGACUGCGGCCUAUCAGCUUGUUGGUGAGGUAAUGGCCCACCAAGGCGAUUACAGGUACGGGCUCUGAGAGGAGAAGCCCGGAGAUGGGUACUGAGACAAGGACCCAGGCCCUAUGGGGCGCAGCAGGCGAGAAAACUUUGCAAUGUGCGAAAGCACGACAAGGUUAGUCCGAGUGAUUUCUGCUAAAGAGAUCUUUUGCUAGUUAUAAAACCACUAGUGAAUAAGGGGUGGGCAAGUUCUGGUGUCAGCCGCCGCGGUAAAACCAGCACCUCAAGUGGUCAGGAUGAUUAUUGGGCCUAAAGCAUCCGUAGCCGGCUCUGUAAGUUUUCGGUUAAAUCUAUGCGCUCAACGUAUGGGCUGCCGAAAAUACUGUAGAGAUAGGGAGUGGGAGAGGUAGACGGUACUCGGUAGGAAGGGGUAAAAUCCUUUGAUCUAUCGAUGACCACCUGUGGCGAAAGGCGGUCUACCAGAACACGUUCGACGGUGAGGGAUGAAAGCUGGGGGAGCAACCGGGAUUAGAUACCCGGGUUAGUCCCAGCUGUAACGAUGCAGAACUCGAAUGAAUGCAAUGCAUAUAGCCCAGUGCAGUGUCCGCCAAGGAAGUCGU